UUGCACGCUGGCGGCAGGCCUCACACAUGCAAGUCGAGCGGAUGAAGGGAGCUUGCUCCUGGAUUCAGCGGCGGACGGGUGAGUAAUGCCUAGGAAUCUGCCUGGUAGUGGGGGAUAACGUCCGGAAACGGGCGCUAAUACCGCAUACGUCCUGAGGGAGAAAGUGGGGGAUCUUCGGACCUCACGCUAUCAGAUGAGCCUAGGUCGGAUUAGCUAGUUGGUGGGGUAAAGGCCUACCAAGGCGACUAUCCGUAACUGGUCUGAGAGGAUGAUCAGUCACACUGGAACUGAGACACGGUCCAGACUCCUACGGGAGGCAGCAGUGGGGAAUAUUGGACAAUGGGCGAAAGCCUGAUCCAGCCAUGCCGCGUGUGUGAAGAAGGUCUUCGGAUUGUAAAGCACUUUAAGUUGGGAGGAAGGGCAGUAAGUUAAUACCUUGCUGUUUUGACGUUACCAACAGAAUAAGCACCGGCUAACUUCGUG
RNAcentral lists this ribosomal RNA (483 nucleotides) under uncultured bacterium. Its description in RNAcentral is "partial 16S ribosomal RNA". It matches the Rfam family "Bacterial small subunit ribosomal RNA", at positions 30 to 507 of the family's 1533-position model. The record is from RNAcentral.